RNAcentral lists this transfer RNA (74 nucleotides) under Sus scrofa (pig). It matches the Rfam family "tRNA". Rfam says of the family: Transfer RNA (tRNA) molecules are approximately 80 nucleotides in length. Lineage: Eukaryota; Metazoa; Chordata; Mammalia; Artiodactyla; Suidae. The record is from Rfam by way of RNAcentral.
UCUCUGGUCAUACAGUUGGUCAAGGACCCAGCAUUGUCACUGCUGUGGCUCAGGUUCAAUCCCUGGCCUGGGAA